GACCUGGUGGUGGAGUGGUUACCACACCUGUUCGAAUUAUCGGGGUAACUUGUCUCCUAAGCAGGAGUCCCCCGUUCGAUUCGGGGUCAGAUUU
Molecule: non-coding RNA, 94 nt
Organism: Mycena latifolia
Lineage: Eukaryota; Fungi; Basidiomycota; Agaricomycetes; Agaricales; Mycenaceae
Source: the annotation of a GenBank genome assembly